GUUGUUGCAAAAUCUGUAUGAGUACAUUAAAUAUAGCUUUUAGUCUAUAAUCUAUAAUCAUAAAAUUAAGAAAUAAUACCUGAAAAUUUAAUUAAAUAAGAUCACAAAAAAAUUUUGAAGCCCUAAAAUAAUUUAAUCCACACGGAAAAAAGAACUGGACUAGCCAAAAAAUUGAGCUCAGUGUGUUUUACAAUAGCAAGAAAGGUUGCAUUUUAUACAGAAAGGGUGUAUUUUAUGCAGAAAGCAACAAGGAAGAGCUUCUCGCGUUUUAAAGUGAGCAGCCAAAAAUAGGGAGCCUGUUAAGUUUAUGACUUUUUAACAUUUUAUUAAAUUGGGAAAAAAAAAGAAAAAAGAAAA
This 357-nucleotide unclassified non-coding RNA is filed under the name Hevea brasiliensis (rubber tree). Lineage: Eukaryota; Viridiplantae; Streptophyta; Magnoliopsida; Malpighiales; Euphorbiaceae. The record is from RNAcentral.